RNAcentral lists this long non-coding RNA (319 nucleotides) under Vigna radiata. RNAcentral's name for it is "long non-coding RNA (VRAD_LNC000049)". Lineage: Eukaryota; Viridiplantae; Streptophyta; Magnoliopsida; Fabales; Fabaceae. The record is from RNAcentral.
AGAUGGAGAAAGAAAAGGGAAUGAGAUUGCAGAAAUGAAGGAAAGGAAGAGCAGAAGAGGAACGUGAGGAAAAGAAGAAAAAUGCAGAAAAGAUGGUUUAUUUAAUAUAUAGAUAUCUUUCCAGCGGUAAGUGUGAAGAAUGAAUGUGAGAGAAAAAGGGACAAAGGAUGUGACAUGAUUGACAUUGGUGUUGUUAUGAAACCUAGGCCGGCAACAAUGAAUCUUGUUCGAUUGUAAAGAAAUUAUGAUACAUAGGUUGUUCAUCCCUAUAAAGCAUAAACAUAAAAGCAUAGUCGGUGCUUCAUGAAAAAUAUAAUAA